UAAGCAGGAUUUUACUACAAUAUGGCUGCUCAGUGCUGUGUUGUCGUUCCCCCUGCUCAGAACAAUUGUUUCUUAACUAUACCUGUCUGCUGUCUACCUGUAGCAGCCAGGGACGCUUGGUCUCAUACAUGAU
This 133-nucleotide small nucleolar RNA is filed under the name Rattus norvegicus (Norway rat). RNAcentral describes it as "E3 small nucleolar RNA". It matches the Rfam family "Small nucleolar RNA SNORA63". Rfam says of the family: E3 belongs to the H/ACA class of snoRNAs and is involved in the processing of eukaryotic pre-rRNA and has regions of complementarity to 18S rRNA. Lineage: Eukaryota; Metazoa; Chordata; Mammalia; Rodentia; Muridae. The record is from RNAcentral.